AGAGUUUGAUCAUGGCUCAGAACGAACGCUGGCGGCGCGCCUAAUACAUGCAAGUCGAGCGAGAAGACGUAGCAAUACGUUUGUAAAGCGGCGAACGGGUGAGGAAUACAUGGGUAACCUACCCUCGAGUGGGGAAUAACUAGCCGAAAGGUUAGCUAAUACCGCAUACGACUCCUGGUCUGCGGAUCGGGAGGGAAAGCGAUACCGUGGGUAUCGCGCUCUUGGAUGGGCUCAUGUCCUAUCAGCUUGUUGGUGAGGUAACGGCUCACCAAGGCUUCGACGGGUAGCUGGUCUGAGAGGACGAUCAGCCACACUGGCACUGCGACACGGGCCAGACUCCUACGGGAGGCAGCAGUAAGGAAUAUUGCGCAAUGGGCGACAGCCUGACGCAGCGACGCCGCGUGGGGGAUGAAGGUCUUCGGAUUGUAAACCCCUUUCGGCAGGGAGGAUGGAAUGGGUAACCAUUCGGACGGUACCUGCAGAAGCAGCCACGGCUAACUUCGUGCCAGCAGCCGCGGUAAUACGAAGGUGGCAAGCGUUGUUCGGAUUUACUGGGCGUACAGGGAGCGUAGGCGGUUGGGUAAGCCCUCCGUGAAAUCUCCGGGCCUAACCCGGAAAGUGCGGAGGGGACUGCUCGGCUAGAGGAUGGGAGAGGAGCGCGGAAUUCCCGGUGUAGCGGUGAAAUGCGUAGAGAUCGGGAGGAAGGCCGGUGGCGAAGGCGGCGCUCUGGAACAUUUCUGACGCUGAGGCUCGAAAGCGUGGGGAGCAAACAGGAUUAGAUACCCUGGUAGUCCACGCCU
RNAcentral lists this ribosomal RNA (800 nucleotides) under uncultured bacterium. RNAcentral describes it as "bacterial SSU rRNA". It matches the Rfam family "Bacterial small subunit ribosomal RNA", at positions 8 to 802 of the family's 1533-position model. The record is from RNAcentral.